AUAUUAAACUCCUCCUCCAGGCAAGAUCAACAGCAAUAACGACACAACAAUUGAUGCUGCUGUUGCAGUGACUGUGCUUUAUAGGAUACACUGCGAAGA
RNAcentral lists this non-coding RNA (99 nucleotides) under Heterosigma akashiwo. Lineage: Eukaryota; Raphidophyceae; Chattonellales; Chattonellaceae. The record is from RNAcentral.